RNAcentral lists this ribosomal RNA (255 nucleotides) under uncultured bacterium. RNAcentral describes it as "partial 16S ribosomal RNA". It matches the Rfam family "Bacterial small subunit ribosomal RNA", at positions 524 to 776 of the family's 1533-position model. The record is from RNAcentral.
UACGAAGGGGGCUAGCAUUGCUCGGAAUCACUGGGCGUAAAGGGUGCGUAGGCGGUUUGACAAGUCUGAUGUGAAAUCUAUGGGCUCAACCCAUAGUCUGCAUCGGAAACUGUCGGGCUGGAGUAUGGGAGAGGUGAGUGGAAUUUCCGGUGUAGCGGUGAAAUGCGUAGAUAUCGGAAGGAACACCUGUGGCGAAAAGCGGCUCACUGGACCAUUACUGACGCUGAUGCACGAAAGCUAGGGGGAGCAAACAGG